UACCGCAUCAAAACAUAAAAUGUAAAUUAGUGGCCAUACAUUUACCAUCCCAAUCCCUUUUCAGCAACUCAAUUCUAACCACCAUUCCAUCCGAUACAAUAGGAUUUUUUCCUCUCCUCCACACUUUUCCAAAAGCAUAGUUGUAUUUAUUGAUAAUAAUAUAAUUUUAUUUUUAUUUUAGAGAAGGUAUUUGGCUCCUAAUUUUCUGUGGCUCGGAUGGAGCAUGGGUUGGACUACAUUCGUAUAAUUAGAAUCGUUUAGAUUAGAAUGCAUGCAGUAGUCUAUUUGCAAUUCAUUAAAAACACCGGGCAAAACAAAAUAUACAACGCCUCAUGAAUCCGUUGUUUAUAGAAGAUCCUGAAUCUGCGUUUGCAGCCGCUGCGCUUGAGGUCGGAGAUGAUGGGACGACGAUAUUAUCUAUAAGAUAAUCCAGUUGGCAUUUUACUGUUCCAAUUGCAUUUGUCAGCUUCCAAAUUUUUUUGUCGUGCUCCUGCAUUCCUAAUUGUAUUUCAUUUAUCAUUCCUAACACCUUGUCAAUUUUUCCAUUGAGUGAAGCCAGUGUUAUCUCUGGAUUUUCGCUAACCUGGUUUUCCAUCGCUGAUAUGGCUAUGGUUUAAAAAUUAGUUGUUUUAAAAUUCAUUCGGCCACAAAGUCAUUCUAUCAUUUUAUUUACCUUUUUUUCACUUUUUUCUAGCUCCAAGCUCCAAGCUCCAAGGCGUGCGAGAAUAAUUUUUUGCUCCAAUCAGUCCAAAAAACGAAGACCAAAUAAAAUUUUCCAUCGUCUUGAAACCCAUA
Molecule: long non-coding RNA, 795 nt
Organism: Anopheles coluzzii
Lineage: Eukaryota; Metazoa; Arthropoda; Insecta; Diptera; Culicidae
Exons: 4
Source: RefSeq, a predicted model, not a curated record